AUGAGCUGCUUGAGAGUGCAGAUGGCAAGGCAGGAAAGGAAAAAGGCUUUUGUGGUGAUCGGGAUCAAUACCGCCUUCAGUAGCAAGAAAUUACAUGAUUCUGUCAGGGAGACAUUGAUGACUGAAGAUAGCAAGGAAAUUACAGAGAAAUAUGCAAGUAUGGAAUCAAGGGAUCAAAUAGGAUCAUCUAUCAUCCCAGCAAAUAGAAUCAACUAUCGUUCCAUGUUGUUUGGAUCAUCUAUCGUCUCGCACCGUCUAGCUGAAAUGGCCAAAUGA
This 276-nucleotide ribosomal RNA is filed under the name Triticum aestivum (bread wheat). RNAcentral describes it as "partial small subunit ribosomal RNA". The record is from RNAcentral. Lineage: Eukaryota; Viridiplantae; Streptophyta; Magnoliopsida; Poales; Poaceae.